UUUAGUAAAACAAUUGAAAGGUCUUUCCUGUAAAAGUGAUGUUUUCGUAAUGUUCUUUGUACGACCUUUCGUUUGAUAUACGACAAGCAUACCUUCUGAAACUUUUCGCUUUUACACUUAAUGACCUCAUCCGCCUACAUUUUUGAGAUCGGAAGUAUGAUAUAUGUAAAACAGGGUAGAUGAGCUUUCAUUUGAUAUGCGACAACGCC
RNAcentral lists this long non-coding RNA (209 nucleotides) under Mytilus galloprovincialis (Mediterranean mussel). The record is from RNAcentral. Lineage: Eukaryota; Metazoa; Mollusca; Bivalvia; Mytilida; Mytilidae.